This 501-nucleotide ribosomal RNA is filed under the name uncultured bacterium. Its description in RNAcentral is "partial 16S ribosomal RNA". It matches the Rfam family "Bacterial small subunit ribosomal RNA", at positions 30 to 523 of the family's 1533-position model. The record is from RNAcentral.
AUUGAACGCUGGCGGCAUGUCUUACACAUGCAAGUCGAACGGCAGCACGGGUGCUUGCACCUGGUGGCGAGUGGCGAACGGGUGAGUAAUACAUCGGAACGUACCUUAUCGUGGGGGAUAACGCAGCGAAAGCUGUGCUAAUACCGCAUACGCCCUGAGGGGGAAAGCGGGGGAUCGAAAGACCUCGCGCGAUUAGAGCGGCCGAUGCCUGAUUAGCUUGUUGGUGGGGUAAAAGCCCACCAAGGCGACGAUCAGUAGCUGGUCUGAGAGGACGAUCAGCCACACUGGGACUGAGACACGGCCCAGACUCCUACGGGAGGCAGCAGUGGGGAAUUUUGGACAAUGGGGGCAACCCUGAUCCAGCAAUGCCGCGUGAGUGAAGAAGGCCUUCGGGUUGUAAAGCUCUUUUGUCAGGGAAGAAACAGCAGCUCUAACACAGUAUGCGAAUGACGGUACCUGAAGAAUAAGCACCGGCUAACUACGUGCCAGCAGCCGCGGUAA